This is a long non-coding RNA of Amphibalanus amphitrite, 1191 nucleotides long. RefSeq lists it as uncharacterized. The record is from RefSeq and is a predicted model, not a curated record. NCBI's taxonomy places the organism in Eukaryota, Metazoa, Arthropoda, Thecostraca, Balanomorpha, Balanidae. The transcript has 4 exons.
CUUAUUUCUUCACCAUCACCGGCGUCCAAAACAACAACGUUAUAAAUUCAAAUCUGUGUUUAUUCAGGGCAGAUUGCGUUAUUUAUUUUUGCUUUCUAUUAUAAGAUUCAUUGUAAUCUUAUUCAGGUUCAUUGUAAGCUUGGCUGUUGCUUUGUGUUGUCACACAUUCUAAGUGAUUCUAAGUGGUUAUCCUAAUUGUUUCUCCGAUUGGUUAAGUUGAAGUACCUACACCUAAAGCAGGCAAGUUGAAGUGCUGGUCCACGACCCAUGGUUCAACCAUGUUAUCUGCCAGAGUUGCAAUGGUUCAGGUCCUCCGCUCCCUCUCCUCUAGCACUCCUGCUGCUUGUAAAUUCCGUCUUCCGGAAGAGGCAAAACAGGAAUUCAGUAAUCCGGCUGCCAAGUACACCACUGCUCAAGAUAUUCCGGAGAAGGGGAAAAUCUAUGAUAAGAAACCAUUUAUGAUUGAAGUGAAGAAGGGAAAAACGUACAUGUGGUGUGCCUGUGGGCAUAGCCGAAAACAGCCCCUGUGCGACGGCAGUCACCGCAACCCAUUCAAGGCCAUCCAACAACGACCGGUGAAAUACGUGGCGGAUGCCGACAAGGAGGUAUGGUUCUGUAUGUGCAAGCAGACCGACCACCGGCCCUUCUGUGACGGCUCGCACAAGCAUCCCGACGUCCAGGCCGCGGUCAGGGGCCACUGAGACGUCCAGUGUCCCAUGCUGGUGCCCCGGGGCUGAUGGAGUUGUUGGGGUAGUGUCUGUCCUAGAGCUGAGUAUGGUGAGGAGUGGUUGGUAUAUGCUUCAGGAGAAGCCUGACAGUGGGAACUUGAUAGCAGGAGGGUGAGUGCUGAUGUGAAAGCUAGAUACAUAGGUGCCAAUGGGGAGUUACUGCCGGGAAAGUGUUGAAAUGAAUGAGACAUGGAUGAAAUCGUGGUGUGAUUGUGCUGUUUUGAUACGAUUUUAGAUCCGAUAUCGUGAUGGAUGUACGAUCAAGGGGGGGGGAGGGGAAGGAACGCGGGACGAAGUACGGUGAAAAGUGAUAGAUAUAAUGAAUGUCGGGGAGGUGUAUUAUCUGUCAUUCUAUUACCAGUAUUGACUCUCUACAUCGUAGAUCGUCUCAAUCGUUAGUGUCACUGUGUGCCCAUUGCAUAGGUAUGCAUCUUCCGAAAUCAAUAUACCGUCAGCUGUCAAA